This 8418-nucleotide long non-coding RNA is filed under the name Triticum aestivum (bread wheat). Its description in RNAcentral is "long non-coding RNA (TAES_LNC004694)". Lineage: Eukaryota; Viridiplantae; Streptophyta; Magnoliopsida; Poales; Poaceae. The record is from RNAcentral.
UGACAGCGUGAUUUUUGGCCCUUUCUUUUUCUUUUGUUUUUCCGAGGUUUUUGCCCGAGUUUUUCUUUUUCCGUGGCUUUGUGGUCUGGAAACUGAAGAAGAUGCCCUCUUCUUUGUUUCCAGAGUGGCUUGUCAUUCCCAAAUCUUUCCCUAGACCCUGUCAUUUUCAUCCUAGCCCAAAUCCCAAUAUUCUUUUAUUGGGAAUAUUCCUUUUCUAUUAAAGGAAUAACUCAAAUUGCCCUAGGUUGUGAAGCAACCUAUAUUUCCCUCAUUCCUAAAAUUCCCAAAUAAUUCUCAUAAAUUUUUUGGGUCAUAUCUUGAUCAAAUAUGGCAAAACCUUUCAUUGCCAUGUUCAAAAAUAAUUCCCCAAUAAUUCAUUUCCUAUUCUGCCCCAAAUGGCACAUUGUGAAGCAAGUGCCAUUUUCCUUUGCCCAAUUGACCUAAAUCUCCUUUUAAAUCUUUUCAUGUCCAUAUCUUUGCCACAUCCCAAAAUGCAACCUCAUUUUCCUAGUAAUUAUUUAAUUAUGAUUUUCCAAAGUUUCUGUCCAGAAAGAAGCUUUGUGAAGGAGGUACAAGCUAGGAAUAUCCAAAUGAGUUUCCAUUUUGCAGGAUCCUUCAUAUAAUAAUAUCAUAGCCCUCCAGAAAAGUAGAGCUCAUGUCAUGCCUUCAUGUGAGCUAAGCCUCAAUUCUUAGUUUCUGGUCAAAAUUUCAGUUUGUGAAGCAAGUAUAUUUUAUCUUGCUCCAUUAUGGCUGCCAAUAUUUCUAGGACUUCUAGUAUCCAUAUAACUUCCCACCACCAAGUUGUGUCUCAAUCCCUUUGACCAUUUGCCCUGUGGAAUUUUUCCAAGUUUCUGGCCAGAAUAAAUCUUUCUAAAGCAAGUGCUAUUUUGGUUCAUCCAAAUGGCAUGAAACUCCUUGGGCAUCUGUAUAUAUUCAAAUCAUUGGGCCAUAACCAUUUUCAGCUCUAUUGAUGCAACUAUGUGAGUGCAUCAUCCAAAUUCCCAUUUCUGGCCAUUAUAGCACUUUCUACAGCAACCACCCUUUAAACUCCUCCUCUUAAGAUGAUUUCCUGUGAUCGUAGUCACCUUAGUGUAUGAUCAUUACCAGACAAAGAUUUUACUAAGUUACCUAGCUGGUGUCCCCACUGCACAGCACAAACACUUGGCCGCUGGUUUGCUUUGGGGCCAUCUGCAAAUCUCUUAUUUGCCCCUAGAUUGAUUUAUUUCUUCAUUUAGACUAAGGUCACUAGGGUCAUUCGACGGGACAUGGUCGGCCCGGCCAGAACGCGUUGUGUGCACCAGUGCGCGCGGUGACCACCUCUCUGGCGUGCAAUGGCUGCGUCCAGAAUGGCUUCUUGCUCGGGCCCCUCCUCUGCUCGGUGUCUCAGCGAGCACGGGCAUGUCCAUUGUCUUCCUCUCGUCGUCGCCGUUCCCCUGGACCCCUCUCACCCUCCGUCCGAUUCCCCACCGACGCAAGCCGCCGCGCGCCCACGAGAGCACAGUGGAGCUUUGGAUCUUCCCGUCGCCGUCGUCUUCCUCCCUGCGCCCCUUGGCUUCCUCUGCCCCGUGAGAACCUCUACUGUGCCUCCCUCGUCGCCUGCCCCCGAGCUCGAGCGCGCGGGCACGCGUCCGCGGCACCGGACACGCGUCCGCGGUGGUGCCAGCUCGGCCUCCCUCGCCCCGCCUAUAAAUGGCCCUCCCCCGAGCGUUUCGAGCUCACCAGCAGCCUUCCCACACUCCUCUACACCUCCCCGACCUCUCAUUCGAGCUCCAAGAGCUCCUGAGCCCGCCCUUGCCGCCAUGGCUGCCGCCUCUGCCCCUCUUCGAUUCGGGAAAGCCGAGCCCUUCCCCUCCAUUCUGUCCCCACCAAUAGCCUCCCCGGAGUCCAGCAACUCGCCCCAACUCCUUUCCCCUCGCUGGAGUGCCCCGCAGCCCCUUAGCCAAAUCCCACCCGAAGCCCCCUCCGCCGGAGUGCUUGCGGCUCUCAACCCCGCCCUCCUCGAGGUCCGUUCUGUCCUGGAGCGGGUCGGCCUCGUCGCCCUGAGCACGUGGGUAGGUCGAGCGCCGCCUACGAUGGCCGGAGUCGCCGGCGAUCGUCGUCAGGGCGGCCGGUCUCGCCUCUGCCUCAGCGCGCGUCGGGGGAAGGAGAGGAGGAGAGGGAGGAGAGAGAAGGUCAACGCGGGUCCCACCCGUCAGCCGCACGAGGCGCCUGCUGACGUGGAUAAGUGGACACGCAGUUCUGGUGACUACGUCUUCAUGCGUUGAAAGCGUAUUAUCCGGGUGCUUUGGCUGAAAGUACUCUUUCGCGUUAGGAAAGCGUAUUUGCUGAAGUACGCCUUCUGUUUUUCUGCCUAAGUCCAGUCUGAAAAUAUUUCAUUACAGAUGGGUCCCUGGCAGAAAACACCUCAUAACUUUUUGUCCGUAACUCCAAAUGAGGUGAAUCCAAAGCCUACUUCUUUGUUUCGUCGAGCCCGUUCGGUUGGUUUCAUUUUCACUAUGGUUUGACACUGUGAAAAUGACCUUUUUGCCCUUGCACGUAAACAGCCCCUCCGAGAGAGAACUGUUUCCGGCAAAUCUUUCCGCGGCUUCACCGCACUUCUCCCCGGUGCCUUCUUCAUCCCCAGGCAAGCCACAAUACCCAUUUGCAUGAAAUUCAUGCAGUAGCCAUGGUUUUCAACUUGAAUAUUUAUUAAAUGAUUGCUUGUUUAAAACAUGGUUAUCGUUGUUUCGGUAAUGCUUCUGGUUUAGUGCUUACUUGUUUGCUAUGUUGUUAUGCACCUGGUUAUCAUGCCCUGCUAGUUGCUAGUAUUGCUUUCAUAUUGCCAUGCUUGAUAGUAGUACAUGUUGGGUUGGUCAUGUUCUUCGGUGCAUGAUUAACGUCGGUUAUCGAGUACCAUUAAUAUGCGUUGUUCCUUUGUUGUUAGUUGGUUAAGUCUUACUCGGUGAUGUUAUUGAUGAUUUCUUGCAUGUUAUUUAUGUUUGAUGACAAUGGUCAUGUUAUGCUAUGAGUAGUGUUGUACUUGUAAAAUUUAUGCUCGUCAUUAUGCCAUGUUCAGUUGGAGAUUAUUCAUAGUUGAUAUGGUGGAUAGUUAUGUUGCAUCCCGUACUUAUGUUGAUAUCAUGUUCAUGCAUUGUAAUUGCAUCAUGUUAUUUUAUCAUGGCUCAGCAUUUUGCAUUCAAGUUUAACCGGAUUUAAUUGAACUUGAACAACUGUUGGCUGAGUCAUGGUGCCGCCAGAUCGAAACUGACCAGUGCAACCACGCUUAUCUUAUGGGUAAGGUCCUAACUGGGUCUAUUGUCGUGCAUCUCGCUGGUGCCUCCCACGAGGGAAGGUUAUGGGCGUGCUUACCCUGAUCAGGUGCCCGUUGUUUUUAUUUUUAUGGAUCCGGUCCCCGUGAGGGAGUUUUGACCACGACGGUGGUCGGGGUGUCUUUGGUAGACACGGGGCCACCCAGGACUAGCCCAGUUGGGAGUGGGUCGGAGUGGCCGGCAGAGUGUCAUGACAAUAGAUCGGUUUUGUCGGAACGCCGUUGGUCCACCCGAAUGGGAGUGCGAGGCCAUGGGUUCCGUGGUGUGGGUACAGGGUACUAACCUCUGCAGAGUGUAUAUUAAAUCUAUCGAUAGCUGCGCCCGCGGAUAAGGGCCCAGUUCGUGUUGGUCCCACCGUGAGUCAACAGUAUUAAUAAUAACUGGAUUAAUAACAACCCCGGUUUGAUGAUGAGAUAAGUUGGUUGUGAUCGCCGGAAAGAUCACUGUUUGAGACCAAGUGUUGGUCAUGGUUGUGAUCGCCGGAAUGAUCACCGUGGUAUCGAGGAUACCGAGUUGUUGGAUAUUCGUGAUCUUGUGCGAGAAUCAUGGGUAAAGAUCAGGCUCCUUGUGGUCAUUUAAUGAUUACUACGGUAUUGUUUAUACCAAGCUUGAUUUGAUCCUGAGAUAAUCGUGUGAUGUCCGAGGUUGGUAAGUGAUGCGUGUGAUGGUUGCGAAAUAACCCGAGCAGAAUUAAUGGUGCAUGUAGUGUCAUCAUGUUGCAUGCUAGUAUCAUCGGAUUUAUAUGUAUAUGCUAUGCUCAUGUUGUUUUACCUGUAUCAUGUUCAUGUUGCCUUUGGAUUCUUAGUGGCUAUUAUGAUUAUUUUCGUGAUGGUAGCUGAUAUUAUUUUGGAGUAUUACUUUGGAUGUCAUGUUGCUCAUGCCAUGUUGUUAUAAGGAUCUCAUGUUAAUUCCUGCUUAACUUGUAAUUGCCAUGCUGUUGUUUGUCUUGAAUGCUUCUGGUUAAUUGUGAGCUUGCAAGUACAUUCAAUGUACUGACCUGGCGUGUCAUGCCAGCUUGCAGGUGGUGCCUGGAUUGCUUGCUUGUUUGGUGUUGUUCCUGUGUUCGCGAGCUAGGAUAAGCGUUCCAGCCAGAGUCCCUGCAGAGUGGAGUUCACCACCGUCGUCGUUGUUCCGCUGCUAGAGUUAUUCCGCUGCUUCGAGUUGUUCUGCUGCUUGCAUAGAGCAACUGAGGAUGGCGUAGUGUCACCGUGCCAAUGUUAUUCAUUGUAAUAUCGGAGACCUUGUAUUCAUAUUCGUGAUAUAAUAGAAAGCUGGUUUGUUCUAUGCUAAGCAGUGCCAUAUUCCAGAAGACUUCUCCUCGAUCUCUGGGCUAGAAUACGGGGCGUUCCGGUUUUCUCUGAGCCGGGGUGCCACAGCACUUGGUAUCAGAGCAGGUCUGGCUGUAGGACGCCCUAGACCGCGCGAGCGUUAGAAAGCGGUAGUAUAGACCCUAGUUUGUUUGUUGCACUUGAUUGCUGCAUUUGUUUGUUGUAUAGCAUGCAUAUAGCCUUAGUAUUUGUGAUAACGGUUUAUCUGGUGAGUGUAGCUGGCAUCGGUUCGGAUCCACUGCAGCUCAACCUUUGCAUUUCUCUAGUUCCUUUUUCUUUCGGUGUUUGGUGUCAUUUCUGUCCCAGCAGAGUGAUGCCAAGUGAUCCUGACACUAUUUGCAAAAAUGGUGCUCAGGCAUAGCGCCGAUGUCUUUCUUUCAGUCCCGUCUAUCAUUUCGGUGAUGGACAUGUGUCUAUCCCGGAUCGUUCUUUUAUUCUGUCGUGUUGGCAACCCUUAAUGAUCUUAGUUAUCAAGAAAGGGCAAUGGCAGCAGCCUCAGUUUUUCCCCGCAAUCCUAUUUCUUGGACGAGUACGGAUCUUUUUCCGCCCGCUUGAUAAUAAUGUGGCUGCGACCUUCGUGUCCUACUGCAUGAUUACCGAGUACGUCCUCGCCUUGAAGCUAGUCCAGGUUGUUACCUGGCUAAGCUAGCACUUGGUGUAGCGCUGUUUACACCAAUUCUUCCACACAUUUAUUCGUCCUCGUGCACAUCGUCACAACAUGCUAGAUCGUAGUACCGGAGAUUCCGCGAAAUUUGUGUGCUUAAGUAGGCAUGCAUAUUGUGUGAGUAGCAGUAAUAUGUGUUGAUUGCUUGAUUAAUUUAGUAGAAUGCUUGUGUGCUUUUGUUUUAGACGUUUCUUUUGUUCCUUUCUUUGGGCCUUCAGUGUUACAAAUUUUUCCCCUAUUAAAGUUGCUCGUCAGCCGACACUGGACCCGAAGAGUCAGCAAGAAAUGCAUAUAUUUGGAAACUCAGCUAAACAGAAUGGAAUUAUCAGCUGACUGCAGUGAAAUUGGGAAUAUCUUGUCUGGAUGGAAAAGAAAUCCUAGAUGGACCGUCAGUAUAAAGUUUGCAUUAGCGUGCACUCAUCACAACAAAAUGAUUAAAUCAGCAAGAAGAUAAAUUGUGUGCAAGGUUGCAAGAAUAUUAUCAAAGGUAUGGCUCAGAUACAAGUUUAAUUUUUCGUUGAGGAUGAUUUUGGAACUCGAUGUACCUGGAAGCAAGCAAAAAUAUGGCAUAUACUCAGAAAGGAGGAUAGUCCAGUAAAACCUUGUUUCAUACAAGAAAUCAAUAACAAAAAUAUUAAGAUGGUUAUAUAUGUGGAAAUCGGUCCGCAUAUCACAGUAAGAAGUUUCUGGUGUACGCAACCCAAUUUUCCCUCGCAAGAUACCCGAGAAGCUUCCAAGGCAAGAUUCAUCUAUCUUCCUCAGUACGAUACAUGGAUGAUUUCCCGUACGAGGUACUCUGCCUUCUUCAGUAAGCAACUGCAAAAGCUUCCGGCAUAAGGUACUGAGUCUUUCCCCAGCAAAGUCUUUAAGGGGGUAAGCUUCUGAAGCACGAUACCCGGUCUUCUUCAGCAAGCUGUCCGAUGAAAGUUUCGAGCACAAGGCAACCAAUCUUCCUUAGUAAGACAUUGGUACAAGGUAGUACGCUGUGAAUUGACAGCAUAUGGCAGUGAAUCCCAAGAAUCAGAUCCGCAACAUUUUGAUCAAGAAUCAGUCAGAAUACACGUCUGUCUCGGAAUCAGGUCCUCAUAUAUAUGCAAUGAGCAUACCACCAAGAUCUUACAAGUCACUCGGAUGAGGAUCUGACAACCACGUGAGGAUGGUUACGAGAAUAAAGCCAGUAUACAUCGCAGUGUGACAAAGGAUUAUGAGGGUUGACGACAUCAAUGAGCUCAAUACAAGUACCUGCGAACCUGGAAAAUGAUCCUGAUGAGCCCUUGUCCCCUUUUUCUCCAAAGACGGCACCACGCCUGUGAUCUGAGCUGUUUCUAGCUAUCCAGGGUGGAUGCCUAUUUUUGUUUCUCUCUUCAACGACUGUCACGAGUCUGAGCUGCUUUUCGGCCGUCUCGCACAGCUGUUGAGUUUCUUUUUGUGACAGUAGCCCUAUAGCUGCUUUUUGGCUAUUUUAGGGAGCUGCCACCUUCUUCUUAUCGACCCGGUCUCAUGCUCUGAGCUGUUUUUCGGCUGUCCUGAGCCGUGGUUGAGUUAUUUCAGUAAUUUCCCAGAUCUGAGUGGUAAAGACCGUUCUGGUGGCUACUGAUUUAUUUGCCGAUUUCUUGCAAGGGUUUCAGAUGAUCAUUUCCCAACAAUCGGAACUUGAGAGGUGUUGAACCUGCCAUUUAAUGGGUUACCCUGUCAGAAAAAUGAGGAUAAGCUACGAUUACCGAGAAAUUGCACCGACAGUACCUAUGGUCAUACAAAGAAACAAUAUGGCCAAGCUCUUUCAUCCAAAGAUCCAGACCAAGAAAACAAAAAUGAAGGAGCAAGACCAGCGAUGCAGGUAUGAAAAUUGUUGCAUAACCCCCAUGGUGCAGAUCCCCCGGACAGUCUAAGUCAGUAUUGAUCCACAUGGAUAUGCCUACAGCAUGAGUAAUCGGCAUGAGGAAUAACAGUCUGGAAGCCUGAGUCCUUACUUAUAUGAAUCAUCAUGGAUAGCCUGUCGUGAACAAAAUUUUCCGUCAGAAACACCAUCGGCCAAGUCUGCAAAUAUUAUCAUACAGGCCAAACCCUUUAUGCUGGCCGUGACAGGAGACAAUCAAAUAUUUGGUACGGAUCCGAUACUCACGACAAUGGAACCGGUUAAGAUGAUUCAGAAACUUCUGCGAUGAGUCAGAAUCUGUCAGGAAACGGUUAUGUUUUAACUCACUGUUUGGAACCCAAAGGACCUGCAUUUAGUGGAGAAACCCAAUGCAAUGAGUCAGAGCUUGAGUUUUCAUCAGAAAAUUCUGAUCAUCAUUACAUGAAAGGUUGUCAGUGCCAGGUGGCACACCCAACGGAAAUCACUCCUGGACUUGUGAGACAGACAUAUAUUUCAGUUGUGAAAUAAAUCACACUCAGCUAGUCAGCAGAUCUAAAAAAAAAUUGGAGCCUAUAUAAGCAUGAGCAAGCCAGGUAAGAUCUGUCAGAAUGUGGAUACAGUAAAGCAAGCCACCCAGGGCCAGUAAGAUAAAAAUUUAGUGGGAACAACAAUAAAGGAAAAAGGACACCCGAGUUGGAAACGGUUUCCUUAAGUCAGAAUAUUCAUACUAGUUCCCUGAGAAACCAAAUCUCGAGGACGAGAUUUCUUUAAGGGGGUAAGUUUGUGACAGCCUGAUUUUUUGCCCUUUCUUUUUCUUUUGUUUUUCUGAGGUUUUUGCCUGAGUUUUUCUUUUUCCGUGGCUUUGUGGUCUGGAAACUGAAGAAGAUGCCCUCUUCUUUGUUUCCAGAGUGGCUUGUCAUUCCCAAAUCUUUCCCUAGACCCUGUCAUUUUCAUCCUAGCCCAAAUCCCAAUAUUCUUUUAUUGGGAAUAUUCCUUUUCUAUUAAAGGAAUAACUCAAAUUGCCCUAGGUUGUGAAGCAACCUAUAUUUCCCUCAUUCCUAAAAUUCCCAAAUAAUUCUCAUAAUUUUUUGGGGUCAUAUCUUGAUCAAAUAUGGCAAAAACUUUCAUUGCCAUGUUCAAAAAUAAUUCCCCAAUAAUUCAUUUCCUAUUCUGCCCCAAAUGGCACAUUGUGAAGCAAGUUCCAUUUUCCUUUGCCCAAUUGACCUAAAACUCCUUGGACAUCUUUUCAUGUCCAUAUCUUUG